This 465-nucleotide ribosomal RNA is filed under the name uncultured bacterium. Its description in RNAcentral is "bacterial SSU rRNA". It matches the Rfam family "Bacterial small subunit ribosomal RNA", at positions 336 to 793 of the family's 1533-position model. The record is from RNAcentral.
CUCCUACGGGAGGCAGCAGUGGGGAAUAUUGCACAAUGGGGGAAACCCUGAUGCAGCCAUGCCGCGUGUGUGAAGAAGGCCUUCGGGUUGUAAAGCACUUUCAGUAGGGAGGAAGGUAGUGUAGUUAACACCUGCAUUAUUUGACGUUACCUACAGAAGAAGCACCGGCUAACUCCGUGCCAGCAGCCGCGGUAAUACGGAGGGUGCGAGCGUUAAUCGGAAUUACUGGGCGUAAAGCGCAUGCAGGCGGCCUGUUAAGUCAGAUGUGAAAGCCCCGGGGCUUAACCUCGGAAUUGCAUUUGAAACUGGCAGGCUAGAGUCUUGUAGAGGGGGUAGAAUUUCAGGUGUAGCGGUGAAAUGCGUAGAGAUCUGAAGGAAUACCAGUGGCGAAGGCGGCCCCCUGGACAAAGACUGACGCUCAGAUGCGAAAGCGUGGGGAGCAAACAGGAUUAGAUACCCUGGUAG